Alexandromys fortis (reed vole) is the source of this 464-nucleotide long non-coding RNA. RefSeq lists it as uncharacterized. Lineage: Eukaryota; Metazoa; Chordata; Mammalia; Rodentia; Cricetidae. The transcript has 3 exons. The record is from RefSeq and is a predicted model, not a curated record.
UGGAGUUGAAGAAUGAAUAGUUAUAGUUUUCCUUAGUUAUGAUAAAAGAUAAAGUAGAUAUAAAUAUUGUAACUGUAAUUCUUACUUGAUAACUGUUUUGUUAUAUGUAAUUUUACUAUGUUAAAGUUAAAGCCUUUCUUUUUUGUUUAAACAGAAAAAGGGGAAAUGAUGGAGGUGGGUCUUGUAUCUUAUCUGUUGAUUUCAUUGGUUAAUAAUAAAGAAACUGCCUCGGCCCUCAUAGGACAGAAAAUUAGGUAGGCGGAGUAGACAGAGGAGAAUGCUGGGAAAAAGAAGCUGAGUGAGUGAGUCGCCAUGAUGCUCCCACUCCAGACAGACGCAGGUUAAGAUCCUCCCUGGUAAGCCAGCUCGUGGGCUACACAGAAUAUUAGAAAUGGGUUAGAACAAUAUGUAAGAGCUAGCCAUAAGGAACUGGAACUAUCCGGGCCAGGCAGUGUUUGAAAGAA